Molecule: ribosomal RNA, 1389 nt
Filed under: Triticum aestivum (bread wheat)
Lineage: Eukaryota; Viridiplantae; Streptophyta; Magnoliopsida; Poales; Poaceae
Description: partial small subunit ribosomal RNA
Source: RNAcentral
AUGGAGCGGGGUUCCGGUUCUUGUUUUCAAGGUGUACUGUGUCAUUGGCUUGUAUUGGUAUUGAUAUGGCUCUGUGGCUGUCAGCAUGUUCUGUCUCAGCAAACAACACUUGAACCAAAAGAUAAAUUUCUUCUGUCUGACCCACCUAUUGGUCUCUUUGAUCCGAUAGAGAUCUCACCAUCUGUUCUCCCACACAAUACCAACCCUGUUGAGCCACUGUCACCAAUGUAUCCGAACUACACAUCCUAUGAUCCGGUUUUGACUGGAAAAUGUCAUGUAAACUUUUCCAAGCUCUCUUUUAUGAUGGACAAGACAGCGUCUGAUUGUUCUGUACCUUUAGCACCACUAGUUGCCGAUGUUAUAUGUUGUCCCCAAGUUAGUAGCUUAAUGAAUAUAUUCCAAGCUGCAUAUGGUGGUGGAAACAAUACGCUUGUUCUCAAUCAAGCUUCAGCAAAUGCUUGUUUCUCUGACAUCAUGAGCAUACUUGCAAGUAAAGGGGCAAACACCAACAUCCCUGAGUUGUGUACUCUGAGGCCAUCAAAUCUUACUGAUGCUUCUUGUCCCAUGAAGGAUAUUAGCUCGUUUGAGAGAAUGGUUAAUGUAAGCAAACUCCUGGAUGCAUGCAGCAGUGUUGACCCACUGAAAGAGUGUUGUAGGCCAGUUUGCCAACCUGCAAUAGUGGAGGCAGCGGUUCAUAUAUCCUCAGGAGGGGCAAGCAUGUUCGGAAGUUCUAGCAUACCUGGGAGUGCGGCUGGGAUUAAUGCUGUUAGUGACUGUAAAGGGGUGGUUCACUCCUACUUGUCUAUGAAACUUUCAUCAGAAGUGGCGAACACUGCUUUCAGAGUAUUAUCUGGCUGCAAGGUGAACAAAGUCUGUCCGCUGGAGUUUGAUGAUCCUUCUUCAGUCGUUAAGGCAUGUGGCAAGGCAUCUACAAGGCCUUCAUGCUGCGCAGCGUUGCAAUCUUACAUCGCAGCUAGACAGAAACAAAUAUUUGUCACAAACUUGCAAGCAAUUAACUGUGCAACAAUGUUCGGAUCAAUGCUACAGAAAGCUGGUGUGGGGAAUGAUAUUUACGGGCUGUGUGAUAUUGACCUGAAAGAUUUUAGCCUGCAAGCUUUUGGGCAGCAAGGUUGUCUACUUCGGAGCUUACCUACGGACAUUGUAUUUGACAACGUUACGGGCAUUAGCUUUACGUGUGAUUUGAGUGAUAAUAUUGCAGCACCAUGGCCGUCGUCAUCGUCUCUCCAGUCUUUGUCGCUAUGUGCUCCAGAAAUGUCAUUGCCUGCAUUACCGGUCGCGCCAUUAUCAGGAAGCUCAGCAGGUAUCUCCAGAACUGGAAUUGGGAUUCUGCUGCCUGUUGUGCUCCUCACCACGACCAUCUCCAUCUGA